GGAAAGAUGAAAAGAACUUUGAAAAGAGAGUUAAACAGUACGGGAAAUUGUUGAAAGGGAAACGAUUGAAGUCAGUCAUACCAACGGGAAAUCAACCUUUUGAGUUUGUUCUUGUGGGUUUCGAGGAGUUUAAAAGCCUUCUGAUUUGUGAGGAUUGGGCUCUUUUGGUGUACUUUCUCGUACGGUUAGUCAACAUCGGUUUUGAAUGUCAUAAAAUGACUGGAGGAAUGUGGCUUCGAUCUCGUAUCGAAGUGUUAUAACCUUUGGUAGAUGUGAUGUUCGAGACCGAGGAUUGCAACGGAUACCCUUUAAGGGCUAUUCGUCUGAUCUCUGAUACGUUACCUUGACGUUGAAAGCUUGCUUAUGAUGUUAGGGUAUUACGGUCAAAAGGUUAGAACGGAUUAAAUUCGUUAAGGAUGUUGACGUAAUGACUUUAAACGACCCGUCUUGAAACACGGACCA
This 462-nucleotide ribosomal RNA is filed under the name Funneliformis coronatus. Its description in RNAcentral is "LSU rRNA". It matches the Rfam family "Eukaryotic large subunit ribosomal RNA", at positions 358 to 668 of the family's 3401-position model. Lineage: Eukaryota; Fungi; Glomeromycota; Glomeromycetes; Glomerales; Glomeraceae. The record is from RNAcentral.